UUGCAUGUGGAAAUGUCUGCUCCUCAUUCCUUUGGAAGCAGGAAUACAUCCAUAACAUGCUACCUUAAAAAAGGAGUUCUCGGGGGCUUCCCUCGUGG
This is a small nucleolar RNA of Physeter macrocephalus (sperm whale), 98 nucleotides long. Lineage: Eukaryota; Metazoa; Chordata; Mammalia; Artiodactyla; Physeteridae. The record is from Ensembl.